RNAcentral lists this ribosomal RNA (497 nucleotides) under uncultured bacterium. RNAcentral describes it as "partial 16S ribosomal RNA". It matches the Rfam family "Bacterial small subunit ribosomal RNA", at positions 28 to 507 of the family's 1533-position model. The record is from RNAcentral.
GAUGAACGCUGGCGGCGUGCCUAAUACAUGCAAGUCGAGCGAACAGACGCGGAGCUUGCUCCUCUGACGUUAGCGGCGGACGGGUGAGUAACACGUGGAUAACCUACCUAUAAGACUGGGAUAACUUCGGGAAACCGGAGCUAAUACCGGAUAAUCUAUUGCACCGCAUGGUUCAAUAGUGAAAGACGGUUUUGCUGUCACUUAUAGAUGCAUCCGCGCGGCAUUAGCUAGUUGGUAAGGUAACGGCUUACCAAGGCAACGAUGCGUAGCCGACCUGAUAGGGUGAUCGGCCACACUGGAACGGAGACACGGUCCAGACUCCUACGGGAGGCAGCAGUAGGGAAUCGUCCGCAAUGGGCGAAAGCCUGACGGAGCAACGCCGCGUGAGUGAUGAAGGUCUUCGGAUCGUAAAACUCUGUUAUUAGGGAAGAACAGAUGUGUAAGUAACUAUGCACGUCUUGACGGUACCGAAUCAGAAAGCCACGGCUAACUACGUG